UGGGGAAUAUUGCACAAUGGGGGAAACCCUGAUGCAGCAACGCCGCGUGAGUGAUGAAGGCCUUCGGGUUGUAAAGCUCUGUCUUCAGGGACGAUAAUGACGGUACCUGAGGAGGAAGCCACGGCUAACUACGUGCCAGCAGCCGCGGUAAUACGUAGGUGGCAAGCGUUGUCCGGAUUUACUGGGCGUAAAGGGAGCGUAGGCGGAUAUUUAAGUGGGAUGUGAAAUACCUGGGCUUAACUUGGGUGCUGCAUUCCAAACUGGAUAUCUGGAGUGUUGGAGAGGAAAGUGGAAUUCCUAGUGUAGCGGUGAAAUGCGUAGAGAUUAGGAAGAACACCAGUGGCGAAGGCGACUUUCUGGACAAUAACUGACGCUGAGGCUCGAAAGCGUGGGGAGCAAACA
RNAcentral lists this ribosomal RNA (402 nucleotides) under Clostridium intestinale. Its description in RNAcentral is "bacterial SSU rRNA". It matches the Rfam family "Bacterial small subunit ribosomal RNA", at positions 355 to 774 of the family's 1533-position model. The record is from RNAcentral. RNAcentral also lists the same sequence under 2 other names. Lineage: Bacteria; Bacillati; Bacillota; Clostridia; Eubacteriales; Clostridiaceae.